GAUGAACGCUGGCGGCGUGCAUAACACAUGCAAGUCGAACGAUGAAACUUAGUCGACUUCUUCGGAAAGACACUAAGCGGAUUAGUGGCGAACGGGUGAGAAACGCGUGAGUAACCUGCCUUACACAAGGGGAUAGCCUUUGGAAACGAAGAAUAAUACCCUAUAAAACCAUAAAAGCACAUGCUAGAAUGGUCAACGUGGUAGCGGCGUAAGAUGGACUUGCGUCUGAUUAGCUAGUUGGUGAGAGAAAAGCUCACCAAGGCAACGAUCAGUAGCCGGAUUGGGAGAGUGUACGGCCCUCUUGGGACUGGGACAAGGCCCAGACUCCUGCGGGAGGCAGCAGUGGUGACUUUUGCACAAUGGGGGAAACACUGAGGCAGCGACGCCGCGUGAUUUAGAUGUCCGUCGGGUUGUAAAAUUCUUUUGUAUAGGAAGAAAAUGACAGUACUAUACGAAUAAGGUCCGGCUAAUUACGUG
This 477-nucleotide ribosomal RNA is filed under the name uncultured bacterium. RNAcentral describes it as "partial 16S ribosomal RNA". It matches the Rfam family "Bacterial small subunit ribosomal RNA", at positions 28 to 507 of the family's 1533-position model. The record is from RNAcentral.